Rhinichthys klamathensis goyatoka is the source of this 283-nucleotide long non-coding RNA. RefSeq lists it as uncharacterized. The transcript has 3 exons. The record is from RefSeq and is a predicted model, not a curated record. Lineage: Eukaryota; Metazoa; Chordata; Actinopteri; Cypriniformes; Leuciscidae.
GGCGUAAGCAGGGCUGCCACACUGAGUGUUCAGAAGCUCCAGAGAGAGAGAGUCUGCCUUCAGAGUGUUACUCAGACCAAAGUCUACACACAAACACACUCGCAUAUGUUUUUUUAAUUAGACAUUCAAGAAUAAAUCAUACAGAUUUCAGAAGCCUAAAAUGAAAUACAUGAAUAAAAGGAUGAAAGAGACAUUGGUUGAUGCUAUUACUUAUGAUAUUUCUCAUUGUAGGAAGUUUUCAAUCUUCAAGUCCCUAGUUAAAAAACAAUAUUCAGAGAUGAAG